This is a long non-coding RNA of Dermochelys coriacea (leatherback sea turtle), 245 nucleotides long. RefSeq lists it as uncharacterized. The transcript is spliced from 3 exons. The record is from RefSeq and is a predicted model, not a curated record. Lineage: Eukaryota; Metazoa; Chordata; Testudines; Dermochelyidae.
AAGAAAAUAUGUUCAUCAGAAAAAAAUAAAAUAUUAGGUAAGAGAAAGGAAAAUAAAAAUGAGUCAAUAGUUAUAUGGGAAAUACAGUGAGUGAGGAAAAAGGCGUAAAAUUAAGGAGAAUAGAGAAUUCCAGAUGAAAACUUUUAUAACAGAAAAGGGCCAAAGAGGAUGAGGUUAGGCAAAAAUAGCAAGCAAUUAUUAAAAAUUCUUCAGAUUUUUAGAAAAAUCUGGAAAAAAGUGGUUAA